RNAcentral lists this long non-coding RNA (1604 nucleotides) under Anthonomus grandis grandis. RNAcentral describes it as "uncharacterized LOC126745827". The record is from RNAcentral. Lineage: Eukaryota; Metazoa; Arthropoda; Insecta; Coleoptera; Curculionidae.
UGUCAAAACAAAUCAUCAAAUUGACUGAAUGAAAUCAAAACGUUGACCAACAAAAAAAAUCGAUCCUCUCGAGAUCAAAUCUUACAAAAUUGCCAAAAAAUUGCAAAGGUAAAAUGACAAGGGAAAGCAAGCGAGAUAUCGCAAUCAAUGGACAACAGAUAACCAGUGAGAAAAUACGAAGAACGGCUCCGGUAAGGGACGUCUAAAAAUCGAUUUUUUUUAGAAAAUGUUUACAUAGAAUGUUGAGUGUGAACAUUUUAUUGAUAAAAAGGUGAGGAUAAAGUAAAAAAAUGCAAAAUUUUAAAAAUUAUAAAGGAUUUUCUACUUACGUAUAAUUCACAAUUACACCCAGCUUAACUACACUCUAUUUGCGACUAGGCAUCACGUUGACCAUUAUAUAUGCUAUUAAUUUAAAUUUAAAGCCUUAAGUAACAAAAUUCUGUAACUUCGAAGGAUUUACAUCACUUCUUUAGGUCAUAAACACAAAUUUUCACACACAAAUCAGGAAUAUCAAAUAUGUAAAUACCGAUUUAUUCAUAAAUAAAAAAGACUGUCAAAUGUCACUUACAUCAACUAACAUUAUUUAUUGGAAGUGGCUACUGUACUAGAACGAUUAUCAUAAUUUUCUGUCGUGUCUCAUUAUAGGUAAGUAUUUGUUUAUUUAUAUAAUCAUAAAAUAUGCACACAAUGAGGCAGUAGCCCCGUGUGCGCAUACAAGGCGGAUGCACAUGGGGCGGCAGCCCCAUGUGCGCACAUGGGACUGUUUGGCUGGCGCACAUGUGGAGUUGGGAUUGUAAAAAGGGAUUUGAACCUUGGGUUGGCACUAAAUAGUGGGUUAGGUAGUCGUUUGAGCCCUACUUAGAGAAUGGGAUAAUAGUUAGAAAAUGGGAAUUAUAACUAUUAUCAUAUCAUUAACAUCAUAUCAUAUCAUUAACACGGGGCUUCCGCCCCGUGUUUGUGUCUAUAAUUCCUAUUCAUAAUCCCUAUAAUGAAUUUAAAGAUAUUUACUGUUUUGAAUAUAAGUCAAUAUACAUUAAACCUCAUCGUUGUUAUUUACCUAAUAAUAAUUAAAUAUCUUAUUAUAUAUUAAAUUACAUAAAAUAUCAAAAAAUUUAAAUAAAUAAUACCUAUCAUGUAUUGUAAAAUCUAACUAUAUUAUACCUUUAUUAUCUAAAAUUGAGUCCACAACCAACCCAUCUAACUAAAAAGUGUUCCAGACAAAACCAAAAAAAACUACUGGGGACAUACUGAAGCCACUGCCAUUUGUGUCAAUAAGGUUGUUGUUUUAUUUUUCUUGUGUGUAAAUUACAAAAUAUGUAAUUAAAAGGGAUACAAAGCGAUAAAAAAUGUUAAAAAAUUGCCUCAAUAUAUAUAUUUUUUAACAUUCUAUGUAAAAAUUUGCAAAGAAAUGGUUUUUAGACGUCCCUUUAAGUUUACCGGACCCCGAAGAACCAGUACAACAGAGCGGUCCCAAACGGAAGGCCCGAUAUUAAGGAUCUGGAACUGGUCAUAGUCUCGGAAUAAAAUUAUACAUUGCCACUAUUAUAGCAUAUUAAAGAAAACUUAUUAAUAAGUUAUUAUAGUUAAUAAAUAUUUAAUUACUA